Long non-coding RNA from Mya arenaria, 384 nucleotides. RefSeq lists it as uncharacterized. NCBI's taxonomy places the organism in Eukaryota, Metazoa, Mollusca, Bivalvia, Myida, Myidae. The transcript is spliced from 4 exons. The record is from RefSeq and is a predicted model, not a curated record.
UUAAGAUGUCGGGAAUGUGUUAGACGAAUGAUUUUGUUUUAUGGAGCUUUGAAGAGCGAUGAAUGGCACUAAAGUUGUGCCAAAUGGAUAUCUCAAACACCCAUUGUUGAUGUGUGAUGCUGAUAAUACAGAGACAGCUAGAGUGACAGAGUUUGAUGAAUAAACUUAAAUUAAAAAACAGAAAUAACCACCAUCUCUCUCAGAGGUCAUCUUUCUCAUUAUUGUGGGGAAACCUCAAAGGGCAUCAGGAAAACCUUCAUCAACCUCUUUGUGCGCAGUGGCUUGUGCAACAGUGUUUCAGAAAUUAUCAUUAAAAUGGGGAUAAUGGAUGACUGGCCACACAUAUGGGGCUAUGGACAAGCUUCAGAGCAGGCUGCCAGGUGG